GGCUGCGUAGUUCAAAGGAUAGAAUGCCAGAUUCCGGUUCUGGUGAUAUGGGUUCGAAUCCCGUCGCGGUCA
This 72-nucleotide transfer RNA is filed under the name Rikenellaceae bacterium. Its description in RNAcentral is "tRNA-Arg". It matches the Rfam family "tRNA". Rfam says of the family: Transfer RNA (tRNA) molecules are approximately 80 nucleotides in length. Their secondary structure includes four short double-helical elements and three loops (D, anti-codon, and T loops). Further hydrogen bonds mediate the characteristic L-shaped molecular structure. tRNAs have two regions of fundamental functional importance: the anti-codon, which is responsible for specific mRNA codon recognition, and the 3' end, to which the tRNAs corresponding amino acid is attached (by aminoacyl-tRNA synthetases). tRNAs cope with the degeneracy of the genetic code in two manners: having more than one tRNA (with a specific anti-codon) for a particular amino acid; and 'wobble' base-pairing, i.e. permitting non-standard base-pairing at the 3rd anti-codon position. The record is from RNAcentral. Lineage: Bacteria; Pseudomonadati; Bacteroidota; Bacteroidia; Bacteroidales; Rikenellaceae.